UAUCCUUUCUUUUUUUGCUUUUCAGGGGACUGGUGAAGACAGCUACUGCAGGGGAUUUUCCUUAUACAGAACAGGAUCCAUGUUUAUCCAUGCUACAUACAAUGAGAUGAGCAGCGUCAAAGUUUGGGGCUCAACUACGACUGAUGCUGUGCAAAGAUGGCCAGUUCCAGAUUACUUACAUUUUUAGCAGAAAGAGAAAAGCAAUAACAUGGAUUAUAUGAAUGACAGAAGGCACUUCAACUUCUUGCAGGGGUGGAUGCAGUUCCUACUGUUGUGUGUAAGUACUUGGGGAUUGCGAGGGGAAAAGCAUUUUCUACCUAAAUUAUGGGCCAUUAACUUCGACUUAAUAUUACUUUGAGUCCAAUAUUCUGUGUCUGACUGAACUGUGUGUUCCUGGAAGACUUAUUCUGAAGAAAAGGUGACAUGUAAAAUACCUGCUAUUCUACUAUUUUUCUUGACAGAAUCUCUUCCUUUAUAAAUCAUUUUGUUUUUCUCUUACUUCCUCUUCUAACCCCAAUACAGUCCCAGUUUGACUCUAUUUGACCUGGGCAUCCAGCUCUAUUUUUCACUGUAACUUUCUCUAUUUUUAGUCUCUUGAUCAAGUCACACUUUAGUCUU
This 618-nucleotide long non-coding RNA is filed under the name Coturnix japonica (Japanese quail). Its description in RNAcentral is "lncRNA (ENSCJPG00005021482.1)". Lineage: Eukaryota; Metazoa; Chordata; Aves; Galliformes; Phasianidae. The record is from RNAcentral.